GUGCACAGUGCGAGCCGACUGCGGCUGCCUCAGUGUCUCCUUCGUUGACCGUGGACCUUCCCGAGUACAGCAAAAAGAAGGACUUUGGUAGCGUGCAUACAACAUUCCUUGCCGCAUAGGUGCAGUACAAUAAACCAGGUGUGGAGGAAGGCAUGCUGCUGCCGGAUCAGACGUACGAGGUGACCCACCAGUACCAACACCACCACCAUCUGGCCAGGCUUCUGAUCGCACAUCGAGUGCGCCCCGACUUCUUCUGCACCUAUUGUCCGCGUCACUUUAACAAGUCACAGCCACCGCCCGGUGACACCGCAUCGUGCCCCCGUCAUUCCUGCCGCCCACGCCGCCUACCGCGUGCACACAACCAACUCCAGUCGCAGUCUAGCAGGAAUCGAGAGUCGCCUCGCAGGCCGUGGUCUCGAGUUGAGAGAGGGUUAGAGUAUUCACAAUUGUAAUAAAUACUCAAUGAUACAUGAUACAUAAAGUAUAACCGAUAUUAACAC
Molecule: long non-coding RNA, 500 nt
Organism: Leptidea sinapis
Lineage: Eukaryota; Metazoa; Arthropoda; Insecta; Lepidoptera; Pieridae
Exons: 4
Source: RefSeq, a predicted model, not a curated record